This 505-nucleotide ribosomal RNA is filed under the name uncultured bacterium. RNAcentral describes it as "partial 16S ribosomal RNA". It matches the Rfam family "Bacterial small subunit ribosomal RNA", at positions 899 to 1397 of the family's 1533-position model. The record is from RNAcentral.
ACUCAAAUGAAUUGACGGGGGCCCGCACAAGCGGUGGAGCAUGUGGAUUAAUACGUCACUAACCGUAGAACCUUACCCAGGCUUGACAUCCAGGGAAUCUUCCUGAAAGGGAGGAGUGCUCGCAAGAGAGCCCUGAGACAGGUGUUGCAUGGCUGUCGUCAGCUCGUGUCGUGAGAUGUUGGGUUAAGUCCCGCAACGAGCGCAACCCUCAUCGUCUGUUGCCAGCACCCGCAAGGGGAUGGGCACUCUGACGGAACUGCCCGGGCAACCGGGAGGAAGGUGGGGACGACGUCAAGUCAGCAUGGCCCUUACGCCUGGGGCUUCACACAUGCUACAAUGGCCGGUACAAAGGGUUCCGAUCCCGCGAGGGGGGGGCAAUCCCAAAAAGCCGGUCUCAGUUCGGAUCGCAGGCUGCAACUCGCCUGCGUGAAGUCGGAAUCGCUAGUAACCGCCGGUCAGCUAAACGGCGGUGAAUACGUUCCCGGGCCUUGUACACACCGCCCGU